Poeciliopsis prolifica (blackstripe livebearer) is the source of this 494-nucleotide long non-coding RNA. RefSeq lists it as uncharacterized. The transcript is spliced from 3 exons. The record is from RefSeq and is a predicted model, not a curated record. Lineage: Eukaryota; Metazoa; Chordata; Actinopteri; Cyprinodontiformes; Poeciliidae.
CUUGCCUGCUCGUGGUGCUUGGCGGGGGGCAGGGCGCAGGGAGGCUUGGGCAGGCGGAGGCGCGCGGGGCAGCAGUACUGAUGAAAACCAACAGAGAAGCUUUGACUGAAGGAAAGACGAACAUUUACAUGUUUCCACUAAGAAUCAAAGGAUGAAACAAGAAGAUUUUUCAGCCAGACAUGAAACACAAAGAUACCACAGAGCCUCUCAGCUGGUUACAGAGGUCAAAGUCCAUCUAGAGCAGCAGAAACGUUUCUCCUUCCAGUUGAUCCCAUCUGAAGCGACGGCCUGAUGAUCCGCCGCCGCGAGGCUCAGCUUCCAUCGCCAUGCCGACCAGCUGCAGGACUGAGGUGACCCUGAUGCCAGAGAAAACAGCCGCUAUCCACUUCCUGCUGAAUCUGUAACGCCGUCAUCCUGUAGCAAGUCCAACCAGACGCUUUAAAAUGCUUUCAAACUUAUGAAUGGUUUGAAUGGGCCUAGUCAAAGUCUGGACU